RNAcentral lists this ribosomal RNA (292 nucleotides) under Staphylococcus aureus. Its description in RNAcentral is "partial 23S ribosomal RNA". It matches the Rfam family "Bacterial large subunit ribosomal RNA", at positions 488 to 783 of the family's 2925-position model. Lineage: Bacteria; Bacillati; Bacillota; Bacilli; Caryophanales; Staphylococcaceae. The record is from RNAcentral.
UAGAGAAGCAUUACCGUGAAGGAACGGUGAAAAGCACCCCGGCAGGGGAGUGAAAUAGAACCUGAAACCGUGUGCUUACAAGUAGUCAGAGCCCGUUAAUGGGUGAUGGCGUGCCUUUUGUAGAAUGAACCGGCGAGUUACGAUUUGAUGCAAGGUUAAGCAGUAAAUGUGGAGCCGUAGCGAAAGCGAGCCUGAAUAAGGCGUUUAGUAUUUGGUCGUAGACCCGAAACCAGGUGAUCUACCCUUUGUCAGGUUGAAGUUCAGGUAACACUGAAUGGAGGACCGAACCGAC